Molecule: ribosomal RNA, 473 nt
Filed under: Trichoptera sp. BAH_28365_F06
Lineage: Eukaryota; Metazoa; Arthropoda; Insecta; Trichoptera
Description: partial 16S ribosomal RNA
Rfam family: Bacterial large subunit ribosomal RNA
Source: RNAcentral
AAUGGCCGCAGUAUUUUAACUGUGCUAAGGUAGCAUAAUAAUUAGUCUUUUAAUUGGAGUCUGGAAUGAAUGGUUUGACGAGAAAUUGACUUUAUUAAUCUUAUUUUUUUUGAAUUUAAUUUUUUAGUUAAAAAGCUUAAAUGUUUAAGUGGGACGAUAAGACCCUGUAGAUCUUUAAAAUUAAUUUUUAUUUAAUUUUUAGUUGUUUUUACUUUUUUUAUUUUGUUAAUUUUUUGGUUGGGGUGACCAUUAAAAUUUAAACUUUAUUUUUUUUUUACAUUUUAUUGAGUUUUUGAUCCUUUAUUAUGGAUUUUAAGAGGAAGAUACCUCAGGGAUAACAGCGUAAUAAGUUUGGAGAGUUCUUAUUGAUAAACUUUUUUGCGACCUCGAUGUUGGAUUAAAAUUUGAUUGUGGGGCAGGAGAUUCAAUUCUAGGUCUGUUCGACCUUUAAAAUUUUACGUGAUCUGAUUCCA